Molecule: ribosomal RNA, 253 nt
Filed under: uncultured bacterium
Lineage: Bacteria
Description: partial 16S ribosomal RNA
Rfam family: Bacterial small subunit ribosomal RNA
Source: RNAcentral
UACGUAGGGUACAAGCGUUGUCCGGAAUUAUUGGGCGUAAAGAGCUCGUAGGCGGUUUGUCGCGUCUGCUGUGAAAACUCGGGGCUUAACCCCGCGCCUGCAGUGGGUACGGGCAGACUAGAGUGCGGUAGGGGAGAUUGGAAUUCCUGGUGUAGCGGUGGAAUGCGCAGAUAUCAGGAGGAACACCGAUGGCGAAGGCAGAUCUCUGGGCCGUAACUGACGCUGAGGAGCGAAAGCGUGGGGAGCGAACAGG